RNAcentral lists this ribosomal RNA (200 nucleotides) under uncultured bacterium. RNAcentral describes it as "partial 16S ribosomal RNA". It matches the Rfam family "Bacterial small subunit ribosomal RNA", at positions 328 to 539 of the family's 1533-position model. The record is from RNAcentral.
ACGCUCGACACCUACGGGGAGGCAGCAGUGGGGAAUAUUGCACAAUGGGGGAAACCCUGAUGCAGCGACGCCGCGUGACUGAAGAAGUAUUUCGGUAUGUAAAGGUCUAUCAGCAAGGAAGAAGAAAGACGGUACUUGACUAAGAAGCCCCGGCUAACUACGUGCCCGCAGCCGCGGUAAUCUGAGCGGGCUGGCAAGGC